GAGACGGCUCAUAGUUCUAAGGAAGGCAGCAGGCGCGGAAAUUGCCCAAUGUACCGUUGUGUACGAGGCAGUGACGAGGCGUCGUGAGUCACUUAGGUGACAUUACGAUGAGUGAGGUGUACAGACCCUCGCAAAUGCAAGUCGUGGGAAAGCAUGGUGCCAGCAGCCGCGGUAAUUCCAUCAUGACUAACUCAUUCUUACGGUGCUGCAGUUAAAGCGUCCGUAGCUGGCGGCCUGCCGACUCGAGGAACUCUCGACGCCCAACGUAGCGAGCGCGGUGAGCUGCAGCGAGUUACGGCAACAACAACUAUCGCUAUAGGACAGGGGAAGGCUCCUUCUAUUAUAGGGGGACAGGUGAAAUAGGAUGAUGCCUAUAGGAGGAACAAGUGCGCAGGCACUGAGUCGCCCCCGGUUCGUUGGUCAAGGGCGUUAUCGUGGGGCUAGACGAUGAUUAGAGACCGUUUUACUCCACGUCGUAAACGAUGCUACCUCGCUGUG
Molecule: ribosomal RNA, 498 nt
Filed under: Spironucleus salmonis
Lineage: Eukaryota; Fornicata; Diplomonadida; Hexamitidae
Description: partial small subunit ribosomal RNA
Rfam family: Eukaryotic small subunit ribosomal RNA
Source: RNAcentral